GUAGGUCCCGAGCGUUGUCCGGAUUUAUUGGGCGUAAAGCGAGCGCAGGCGGUUAGAUAAGUCUGAAGUUAAAGGCUGUGGCUUAACCAUAGUACGCUUUGGAAACUGUUUAACUUGAGUGCAAGAGGGGAGAGUGGAAUUCCAUGUGUAGCGGUGAAAUGCGCAGAUAUAUGGAGGAACACCGGUGGCGAAAGCGGCUCUCUGGCUUGUAACUGACGCUGAGGCUCGAAAGCGUGGGGAGCAAACAGGAUUAGAUACCCUGGUAGUCCACGCCGUAAACGAUGAGUGCUAGGUGUUAGACCCUUUCCGGGGUUUAGUGCCGCAGCUAACGCAUUAAGCACUCCGCCUGGGGAUACGACCGCAAGGUUG
Molecule: ribosomal RNA, 369 nt
Filed under: uncultured organism
Description: partial 16S ribosomal RNA
Rfam family: Bacterial small subunit ribosomal RNA
Source: RNAcentral